UUCUAGCCCUGAUUGUAGUGAAAAUCCUUUUUAUUUUUUCUUUAAAAAUAAAAAGAUUGCAACGGAAAGCAGGAAAAAGC
Molecule: small RNA, 80 nt
Filed under: Flavobacterium crassostreae
Lineage: Bacteria; Pseudomonadati; Bacteroidota; Flavobacteriia; Flavobacteriales; Flavobacteriaceae
Description: Flavo-1 RNA
Rfam family: Flavo-1 RNA
Source: Rfam by way of RNAcentral